Molecule: long non-coding RNA, 3153 nt
Organism: Falco peregrinus (peregrine falcon)
Lineage: Eukaryota; Metazoa; Chordata; Aves; Falconiformes; Falconidae
Exons: 3
Source: RefSeq, a predicted model, not a curated record
AGUAAACUUUUCUAGCACAGAUGAGAUAAAUAUCUGCACAACUUUUAAAAAUCAGCAAAUUGCCAUCAUCUACCACAGGGUUGUUUCUGGUCUUCCUUGGGAUGUAGAUUCUUCCAUAAAAUUAAUUAAAAGAUACAUUGCACCAUAAAGAGACAGCAUGUAUGGGGGUCAGAAGGGCAGCCUGCUUAACCCAAAAAUUAAAAUGGGAGAAGACAUGCAAACAGAGGUUGAAGGGGAGGUGGAUGAGAUUGUCUAAAAGUGACUUUGCAGUGUUCCCUUGGAAAAAAGAGUGGCACAGCCCACAGAUGACACACAGCUGGAAAACUUCCCUUAGGAAGGAAGACCAGCCAGGUGGCUCUGCUCUCUUUCCUCCACAAUUUUACCUACCAUCCUUGACAACAACGGCAGUGGGAAGGAAGGAGCAAGGGUGGAGCAGAGCUGCAGUUGGGCUCCACCACAUCUCCAGGGACAACCUUCACCCUGUGGAGCUUGGCCAGGCUGCAUCAGCCAGUCCCCAUACUUCCAGUCCCAUGAGGGACUUCGAGUGAUGAUGUGGGAGAAAUUGGAUUUGGGAAGCCAAAGAUUUCCCCUUUCUGAGGCGCAAUGGAGAAGCAGCCCAGAAGCUGCCGUGUUUAUAGCAGGAUGUUUGCAAGCACUGGGAGGACGAGGCCAACAGGCUCCCCAGACCUCUGGCUCCAUCUCAGCUCCAGCACCCUGGCCCCAGGCAAGCAGCUCCCACAUGUGUGCCUUCACUCUGGCCAGAAAAGGAGUAAUAAUUAACUCACAGGGCUGUAAAGUACUUGAACAAGAAAAGACCAGUACAUUUGAACGGUACCUCCGUCCAGCUAAGCCUACCUCCGCGAUGCCAAAGUGAGCUUGCAGGACCCUGCUGCUUAUCAGGGUGUGACCCACCAGCCUGGGGAUGGGGACAGUAGCCACUUCUGUCACUACAUUUACUGAGAUAAAGUGAUCACACACUCAUCUCCCUGGGAGAUGUAAAGAUUAAAGGUUGGCAAGUCAAGUGCCUUGACAGUGAAAAUGCUGUUGAAUGGUGCUAACGUUUUAUCACUGCUGCUUGCCACACAAGUACUUGCUAUUACAUUUAUUAUUAAAACACGUUUCUCAUAGAGCUGCAGACUGUGAGGCCAUGAAUGGUAUUAGGCUGAAAUCAGGACGUUCAUAUUUCAAGGAAUUCCAGAGGAAUGAACAAUAAUUUGCCACUAAUUGCAAAGAAGCUUUGAUAAAAACUCUGAACAGACUCACAACAGCGCAUAUUUUCCAGAGACUGCCCAGUAAUUUUCAGUAAAACCCAAGAACAACAUGACCGUUAACUCUUAUGUUAAAUGUCAUCCAGAUUUGUUCAUAUAAUUCUUCACCACGCUGCAUCUUUUCUAUGCAUGUUUUCGUAAUUUAUGCUGUGUGGCUGCAUUUGGGCUUGCUCAGUUAUACAUCCAUGGAAAAACAUUAGAUGAAGGUCAAAUGAAGCCUAGAAGGGAUGGGUGAUUACCUUUCCCAUUUGACUGUUCUUUAAAAAGUACAAAAGUUAUCUUCUAGCUUGUGACUUUGUUUGUAAGCAGAUUGCAUCCACACAAACCCCUUCCCAUGUAAAGGCUUAAAGACGUGCCGUAGAUCCUUUCUGGAAAUGGACGAGGCCAUGAGCAGCGAUGGCAUUUGGAUUGCGCAGUGAACUGUGUGGUGAUGGUUUGUGGCAAUGUGUGCAGCACUGUGCAUGUGCAUGGCUUCCUCAGUGAGUCUGCUGGAGAAGGAGAAAGCAACUCUGACCCCUGACUAUGAGGCUUGGAAUUAGGCAGGACAUCUACCCAUGCCCUGGGAAGGUCCUUUGCUGCAUUAGGAGGUUAUCGCUGGGAGCCUGAUUCAAGACCCACUGUGAUCUGUGGAGACUUCCACUGACUACUGAGAUUUUCUCUUUGUGCUAGGGCAUGCUAAAUAACGUGAUAUGCUUGUGGAAAUAAAAAUGUCUUUUCAUGCUUGGCUAGUGCUGCUCAUGUUGUUUGAUGGCUGCAAAUGUUCAGAAAGCUACCAGCUGUUUGUAAGGCUGUGCUGAAGGCUUCCCAAUCACAACAAUACUGUUCCAUUAUUGUGAGCACUUAUACAAGGUACAGGUUGUUUUUGCUUAAGUUUGUUGCCAUUUAAAGUUCCAAUAGCAGUAAUCAAUACCAGAUGACUUAAGUUACCUCCCAAAAGAGAAGACUGGUGAAUGGUUGAAACAAUUGUAAUACCUCAUGGGAAAGUUAAUUGUUCAAAUUAUUCAGCAAAAUUCCAAAUUCACAGACAAUUAGAAAAAAUCUUGUGAAUAUUUUGCCACCAUGCAAGAUCUGUGUCUAUACAGAAUAUUAUUUUAAAUUAAUAUUUCAGCUGGCUCAUGUUUAAUUUAUUCUGGCCUGGUUUUGUCCUAUUGACAGAGGAAGUAACAAAUGUAUGAAUAUGCUCUGAUUCCCCAAUUCUCUAUUUAAUAACACAUAUUAAAAAAUUAAGAACAAGCUUUAAGGCAUGUCCCACUGUGUGGUUAGUUCUCUUAAGACAUUAUUAACAGAUGUUAUGACAUCUCGUUCCUAGCUGUGCUGGGAUCCCUGCUGCCAGCUGCUGAAAGCCUGGGAUCUCCCCUCACAUAUGCAGAAGUCAUUAAAAAAUAUAAUUGUUGAUAUUUUAAGUUGCCUAAAUUAGGACAUGUCUUGAUAAUGCCUAAAUUGGGGGAUGCACAUGAUAUUCAUUAGGCCAAAUCCAUUGCUGAAAUAAAGCCACAGAAAGAAAUGAACUAACUUUGAUGAUCUAGGAAGGCCUUCAGCACAAGAAUUCUUAUUUCAAAAUAGAAAUAUCAGCUAUUAUCUUUUUGUGUUUACAUGCCAAAGGAUAAUGGAAAUGGGAUUCUUUGCCUCAUACAUUGUACCUACUAAUCACUUAGGUAAUGUGCUCUUUUUCUGUGCUGUGCUUCAGGGUGUCCUUUCCACCUCGUGACUUGUGUGUGGCCACCAGCCUGUCCAGCAAUAUGUCAGACUGAAGCUGCAGAGGUGUCCCUGACCCAGCAUGGGUCAGGCAUGGCCACAAUCCCUCUGAGGUACCUCCUCGGGCCCAGAGCAUCUCCCCCCAAGAGUGCGUCUCCAGCUAUGUCCCCAACACUGUCCUCCCACAUGC